GCCACACGUACACGUACACGUAGGAGACGUCUGCACCUUCCUUUAAUUCCUCUUCCUUUCUAUUCCCCUCCGCUGGCCAUCUCCCCAACGAACGCCUCGUCUCCUUCCCUUCCUCUGUACGCUAGCACCUACAGGAAGAUAAACAUACACAACGAGAAACUGCCAAGCAAUCACACAAGAAGCUGCCUCCUGUCCUCCUCCAUAAUUCCCAUAAGUGUCCACCGGUUCCAAAACUGAAGGUACAGGGACCUGCGCCUCAAUCUCCUCCCUCGUUUCCCUUAGCCCUCUUCCAUCUCUCUUCUCCGUCCUCCCAGAGAACUCCUCCCAAAGAAACAGUGUUCCAUUUACAUCGGAACUUGAUUCUGAUGAAGGAGACCAUCCCAGUCCAUGCCCUUGCGCCAAAAGGUUCUCUUUCAUGCGUUGAAUCCAUUCAGGGAGGAAAGAAAGCGAUCCGUGGACCACACGCGCAGAAUUUCGCAUGUCAGUCUACACUGUUCGUCGAGUUCUUCGCGUCGUUCUGUCAAACAUGGGAUUGACGACGGUGUUGGACAUGGACAGAAACAGGUUACCGAAGAAGGACUCAACAACGAAGAGAUCUAUGAAGACAAGGGCGUCGACUACGAUUAUUAUGAUGAUCCUGAGGAGUGAGGACACAUUGACUACAUCGACUGCCUGUGGCUGAGAUGGAGUUGCUACGCGUUAUAUAUUCCACUAUGUUUCUGAUUGUAAUAAAUGUCUUGAGACAUUCCAGUAUGUAUGCCUUGUGGGAAGAGUUGUUAAACUUAUACUUAUUUUAAUGUUCCGCAAUGAUACCAUUUCAC
RNAcentral lists this ribosomal RNA (821 nucleotides) under Triticum aestivum (bread wheat). Its description in RNAcentral is "partial small subunit ribosomal RNA". Lineage: Eukaryota; Viridiplantae; Streptophyta; Magnoliopsida; Poales; Poaceae. The record is from RNAcentral.